CCUUAAAGCAACACACACACCCUGACGUCAGACCGCGCCUCCGCAGUCCAUGCACAUCACUACUGGAGCCAUCUUAUCCUGAAGGGAGAAGAGAGGAAGCAGGGAAAGCCUGUGCUCUUGCACACAGGCACCAUUGCAAAAUGAAGAGAACAAGAGAGAAAUCCUUUUGAACCAGCGUGGGUGUGCAAGGAUAUCUUUUUAAACCAAAACGUCUAUGAGGAGAAAGAGAGAAAAAUUCAGAAGGCAGUAAUGGCUCGGCAAAGAGCUCUGAAAUUUGGCACACAGACAUUUGAAAACCUAGGGAGCAGGAAGAGGAGAAGCUGUGAGGGUGGCAAUGCUGCUGCACCCCCAGCUGUCCACUUCACCCACCUUCAAGACAAAUUCUUCCAUCUUCUCCAUGGCAUGAUGGGCCUGAAGUGGCAGCAUCAGGACCCGGACAGGAUCUGUGCCAUCUGCAUUCUCCUCUAACUCUGGUUCGUCU
Molecule: long non-coding RNA, 481 nt
Organism: Hemicordylus capensis (graceful crag lizard)
Lineage: Eukaryota; Metazoa; Chordata; Lepidosauria; Squamata; Cordylidae
Exons: 4
Source: RefSeq, a predicted model, not a curated record